CUGAUCAGAUUUAAGCCCCUUUAAAUGAAGAAGUCUGGGCUGCGUACACUGACUGACAGCAAAUCUGGCGGUUUAGUUCCUUUCAUCUGAUCUGGCAAACAUUAGGCUUAACUAACAGCAGGAGACAGGGAGGCAAUUGGCUUACUUUUAAUUAACUGCAAUCACUGGAGAUAUCUAUUGAGCUCGCUGGCUGUAAGCGGCACGGAGCUGCUAUUAUGGGGAUGACGCUCUUUUCCAAGCAGUGGUCGUCUAUUCUGAGGCAGAUUUUUGAACAUUUGGUGGUGUGGAACAUUUUUCCUAGCCAAGCAUCAAAUCCCACCUAAAUGUUUUCAGUCUCUGCUGAAGAAAAGAAUGAAGUAAAGAAAUGCUGUAAUGUUUUUGGGGGAUUUAGUGGUUUUAUAUCCCAGGCUCCAGCAUCUGAUUCUCCAAGAUAUGCUCUAUAUGGAAUACAGCACUCGGAGAGGAAUCCAUGUGUGAGUUACAUCUCUCAUAUCCUUAACACAUGUUUCUGCUUUUACUGCAUUACUUCAUCUGCUUCAUGUCUAAAGUUCUGGGCGUUUUUUUGAUCCCUAACCGAUUUAGGCUUCUCAAAGGCCGGACACAAACCCUGCUCACAUGUGCUUUGUGUAUAUUAUCUGGCUGAAACAGGUGUGAUAAAUAUCACUGGGCUCAUAGUGACCCUGUGACCUCAACCAGAAUCAGAAUCAUAAAGAAGCCCCCCCCCAUCAGGAUGAGUUAACACCCACCCACUGACUGUGGGCACAUGCAGUAUGUCACUUCCCAUAUGGGGCCCAUCACUCUUGUAUGAAGUUAUUUUUCUUUGCAUGCUGCGUAAUUUACAUUCACCAUCAUGUUUAAACAAUAAAUUAUCAGAAACCACCACUAUUCAGUACUACGGGAUUUACUGUAGAAUCAAUACUCUGUAUCUGCCAUCAUGUGCAUUUAUUUACAUGGAUUAUUCCAAGUACCCAGUAUGACAAGUGUGCCAGAAUGCCCAGUGAGGCCGGGGUGCACAACUGAUGAUGUCGUCGUCUUUGAUGGGGUGACUUUGAUGAUGACCAAUUAGUGAUAAUUCAACCAACAGAUCACCAACCCAACUGGAAGCAAGUGCUGUGCUGAAUUGUCAGGCAUCGUAACACAUAGACCUAUUAAGCAAACUGUAACUAUCAUCUCAGCCAUUUAAUUGAAAACAAUUAUGCAUAAAUUGGUGAAAUGGUUGUCAAAAUACUUUUUCCAUUUGACCAUCGUACUUUUUAUGGUAUUUAAUGUACUUACUUGAUUGUGUGCUGUAUUUACCAACUGAUGAGUUAGUGUGAUGAAUAAUCCUCAUUAUUCAUGCUGUUUGUUAUAGGAGAAGUUGCGGAUACUGUAUAGUCCAGGUAGAGUGGAAAGGGGAAAAGUGGCUGUGAUCGUUUAUCAGUCAGGGGAAGCUGAAGACACCCAAAGGUCAUUCUGCUUGAGCACGCGGCCCAGAACGCCUUUGUGAAGAAAGCAGCCCUCGGAUCAGCCCGACAUCAACCUGGUGCUUCAUGAAUGCACAUUCUCUUCCUCUCUCUGUCCGGUCACCAGAUCAGUUUGUUUCCGUAUUUCAUUGUAUUGAAGUCUGCCAAUGAGUACUGCUAAGGAUUUCAGAUAUCUUAUGUGUAUUAGAUGUGUUCAUUCUAGAAUAUUUUGGCCCUUCUGGGUUACGGGAAGGUGAAUAUUAACUCUGCCAAGGUCACACGAUUACCAGGGUAGGUGUCCAUCAUUACGUCUGAACCUUGCUCCACUCCACAUGUGAACUUCUUGGGGGAUAGAGACAUGUCAGAGACAGAGACGUCUUGGAGGAAAUGAUGUGUGGCCCUUAUUAGGUGAUAACAAAGUUAAUGUCAUUAAACACUUGACUCCAUGUUGUACCAACAAGCUGAACUAAAGGAUGUGCGGCAAGGAGCAGAUGAUGAAGACGGCCCUCUGGGAACAAGGAAGUGUCCUGUCUGCUGUAAAGCCUGCUGUGCAUGACCCCUGUGAACCUAGAUGAGCCUGUGUGAUGAAACAAUUCCUGAAAAUGCCACCAUCUGCUUUCACAGAAAACUGUGCCCUUGAAUAUUAAUCUCUUUCAGGGCUGUUUAUUCAUUAUUGUUUUCCUUCAAUUUGGUCACCUCUUUCCAUGCUGCGAUGAAUUUAUUUGCUGUCAUGGAAACAGUGUGAAAUGAAUCCAGCCUGUUUAUGCCCCCUGCCCCCCUCCCCUUAUUUCUUGUUUCCUUUCUCGGAUUUAAUUGCUAUGUUUCUUAUCAAGUUUUUGUCUGCAGUUAGAUUAUUUUGCAAUUGCUUUCCUUUCCAUUUCCUUGCUUUUCAUCUUCCAGGAUGUUCCAAAUUUGUUUCUCUGGUUGUAUUUUACCAAUUUGAGAAUGUGACUGCGGUAAAGGCUGGUACACUUGAUGGCUGGUUUGUGUU
Non-coding RNA from Paramormyrops kingsleyae, 2433 nucleotides. NCBI's taxonomy places the organism in Eukaryota, Metazoa, Chordata, Actinopteri, Osteoglossiformes, Mormyridae. The record is from RefSeq and is a predicted model, not a curated record.